Molecule: ribosomal RNA, 768 nt
Filed under: Mimicoscypha lacrimiformis
Lineage: Eukaryota; Fungi; Ascomycota; Leotiomycetes; Helotiales; Hyaloscyphaceae
Description: SSU rRNA
Rfam family: Bacterial small subunit ribosomal RNA (bases 89-768)
Source: RNAcentral
AGCUUCGGCUAAUUAUACUGGCUGUUAAAUCUAAAAUUAUUCUAAAAAAAUAAUUAUAGAUUAUUCAAUUGAUUGUAUUNACAGUUAAUUAAUUGCUACNUUUAUAUUAAGAGAAUUUAUUCUCGUAGACAGGUAUAAUAUCGAUUUUAUCGAGUAAAGUUCUAGAUGGUAAAAUUUUGAUUAUGACAUGGUUACCGUUUAUAUGUCUUGACCAAAUUACGUGCCAGCAGUCGCGGUAAUACGUAGAAGACUAGUGUUAUUCAUCUUUAGUAGGUUUAAAGGGUACCUAGACGGUAUGAUUAGUCUUAAAUAAGAUACGAUUAUACUAGAGUUAUAUAUGAGAAGGGGAGUAUUUAUGGAGUAGAGUUGAAAUUUUUUGAUACCAUAACGACUGGUAACGGCGAAAGCAACCUUUUAUCUAAUAACUGACGUUGAGGGACGAAGGCUCGGGUAGCGAACAGGAUUAGAUACCCUAGUAGUCCGAGCAGAGAAUGAUGAAUGCCAUAGAUUAGAUGUUUAUUUAGUCUAUAAAUGAAAGUGUAAGCAUUUCACCUCAAGAGUAAUGUGGCAACGCAGGAACUGAAAUCAUUAGACCGUUUCUGAAACCAGUAGUGAAGUAUGUUAUUUAAUUCGUAGUUACGCGAAAAACCUUACCACAACUUGAAUAUUAUCUUUAAGAUAUUACAAGCGUUGCACGGCUGUCUUCAGUUAAUGUCGUGAGAUAUUGGUUAAUUCCAUUAAAUUAACGGAAACCCUUGCUUUAUUUGC